UCUAAAUUGCUCUUUAUUUUAUGAAAAAUAUUUACAUAUUACAAUUCAGUUAAUUUGUGUAUGAGUACACUCAGUGAAUUACCUUACAAUACAUUACAGCACACAUACUGUGUAAAUUAUAUGCAUAGGUAUUGAUUAAAUCAAAUAGAUUUUUCACAGGGACAGGCUGUAUGAGUGCCUGUAUUUAAAAUAUGGAGCAAUGUUGUUUGUAAAGAUGUUUUGGCAAUGAACUACACAUGAGAUGAUAUUUAAGAAAUAAAUAUAUCUAAGAAAUACUAUUGACAUCUGCUUGGCCCUGUUUGUGUCAGGCAGGCUAAAUGACAAGAUGUUACCUCUAAUACCUCAUGAUCUAUGCCAAAGGUCAUAUACUGUAUCACAUUUUUACAACAGUCAGGUCAAGGCAUUCAAUAUUAGGUGCACAAGAACAAACUAUGUAUUCAUGAGAAUAAAAAGAUACAGUUUGUGCAAUUUUUUCCUCAAUACAUAAAUACAUCUAAUUUUUUUUGUGUGUGGGGGGGGGUCACAACUAUGGAUAAGUGACAUAAUAGAAAGUACAAGCAAACAUCCACACAGAGGUUCUCAAACACCUGUACUGUGUUUGUCUUAUGACUCAGGUUUCUCAGGUCCAGAAUCGUUCCAGCCACUGUAAUCAGGCAGGUUUGGGCUCGGACCCAUAAAGGAUUUGGAACCAUUGAGGUCCAGAAUGUCUCACUUCAGCUCCAGGUACUGGGGUAAGACAUUAUUCCAGAACUGUUGGGAUUCUUGGGUACUUUUGGCCUGUUUUCCCCCUGUGGUCCUCUGUUUGGUACGGGCUGCUGGUUUGGGUUUCUCCCUCGGGGGAUCUUCAAUCCCUUUCCUGCUGGGGGGAGUUGCUUUAGGUGGUACGCUUUGUGAGCCUUUCUUUUUCCCCUUUGCAGGUUUUAUCUCUUCCUCCUCUUCUUCCUGUUCUUCCUCCUCUUCCUCUCCCUCCUCAUCUUCUUCCUCCUCCCCCUCUUCUCCUUCUUUACUAUCUUUCUCAUCCUCUUCUUCCUCAACUUGUUCUUCUUUAAUAUAUCUUUCUUCCUCCUCUUCUUCUCCUUCCUCUUCAUCUUCUUCCUCUCCUGUUUCCUCCACCUCCAUCUCCCCUUUCUGUUCCCCUGCAGCUUCUUCUUCUAAUUCACCAUCAAUUUCUUUAUUUUCUUUCCAUUCUUUUUCAUCUCCCUUCUCCUCCCCCCUUUUUCCACCCUCCUCUCCCUCUGUGUCUUUUCCACCUACUUCCUGUCUAUCUUUUUCUUCUUCCUCCUCUUCCUCCUCUUGCUUCUCCCUUUCCUCUUCUUGUUUGUUCGCUUCCUCCUCUCUCACUUCUAUUUCCUCUUUCUCAUCUUCCUGUUUUUCACCAUCUUCCUCCUCUUCCCCUUCUCCCUCUUCCCCUUCUCCUUUAUCAUCUUCUUCUUCCCCCUCAUCUUCUUCUUCUCCCUCCUCUUCCUCACAUUUUUCAUCUUCAAGUUCCUCCUCUCCACUAGCAUCUUCCUCCUCUUCCUCAUCUUCCUCUCCUCCCUCCUCUUCCUCCUCACCCUCUUCGACUUCACCGUUCUCCUCUUCACCUUCAUUUUCAUCCUCUUCUUCCUCACCCUCAACCGCUUCCUCUUCCUCUUCUCCUACAUUGCCCUCACCUUCUCCACUUUCUGCUCCAUUUUCCUCAUCGUCAUCCUCUUCUCCCUCCUCCUCACUUACACUUGCCUCCUCCUCCUCUUCUUCACUUUCACAACCUUCCUUAUCCUCUCCCUCUCCUUCCUCAUCUGUUCCACUCUCUCCCUCUCCUUCCUCCUCUCCUGACUCAGUAGCUUUACUUUCUUCACUCUCUGCUUCUUCUGCUUGUUCAUCUUCCUCCUCUUCUGCUGAUCCCUCACUCUUGCUCUCAGCCUCACUUCCUGAUUCAUCACCACCCUCCUCCUUGUCCUCUUUGUUUUCAUCCCCACUCUCUUCAUCAGUGGACUCUUCUUCACUCUUAUCCUCCUCUUCCCCCUCUCCACUUGUCCCAGAACCACUCUCUCCCUCCUCUCCUUCCCCAUCACUCUCUUCACUUUUCUCCUCUCCCUCUUCCUCUAGGCUUGCCUCAGAAUCACUCCCUUUGCUC
Molecule: long non-coding RNA, 2116 nt
Organism: Oncorhynchus tshawytscha (Chinook salmon)
Lineage: Eukaryota; Metazoa; Chordata; Actinopteri; Salmoniformes; Salmonidae
Source: Ensembl